AUACUUACCUGGCAGAGGAUGUACCAUGAUCUGGGAGGUGGCUUUCCCACCGUAAGCCUUGUCCAUUGCACUCUUGGAUGUAUUAACCCCCUCCCCACACACACACACAAAAGUUCACCCAAUUCAAGAAACCCAAUUACUUGAUUUGUGGGAGUGGGGGACUGAUUUGCAUUUUCCUCGA
This 181-nucleotide small nuclear RNA is filed under the name Meriones unguiculatus (Mongolian gerbil). RNAcentral's name for it is "U1 spliceosomal RNA (ENSMUGG00000004102.1)". It matches the Rfam family "U1 spliceosomal RNA". From Rfam's summary of the family: U1 is a small nuclear RNA (snRNA) component of the spliceosome (involved in pre-mRNA splicing). Its 5' end forms complementary base pairs with the 5' splice junction, thus defining the 5' donor site of an intron. The record is from RNAcentral. Lineage: Eukaryota; Metazoa; Chordata; Mammalia; Rodentia; Muridae.